RNAcentral lists this ribosomal RNA (730 nucleotides) under uncultured bacterium. Its description in RNAcentral is "bacterial SSU rRNA". It matches the Rfam family "Bacterial small subunit ribosomal RNA", at positions 79 to 785 of the family's 1533-position model. The record is from RNAcentral.
UUCGGCCCUGAGUAGAGCGGCGAACGGGUGAGUAACACGUGGGUGACCUGCCUGGGGGUGGGGGAUUCUUAGGGGAAACUCGGGCUAAUACCGCAUACGUUCCCGGAGCUACCGUUCCGGGAGGAAAGGUGGCCUCUGCUUGCAAGCUACCGCUCCCAGAGGGGCCCGCGGCUGAUUAGCUAGUUGGUGGGGUAAUGGCUCACCAAGGCGACGAUCAGUAGCCGGCCUGAGAGGGUGAUCGGCCACACUGGAACUGAGACACGGUCCAGACUCCUACGGGAGGCAGCAGUGGGGAAUAUUGGACAAUGGGGGAAACCCCUGAUCCAGCAACGCCGCGUGGGGGAUGAAGGUCUUCGGAUUGUAAACCCCUGUUAAGAGAGACGAAGGCUUUCGGGCGAACAGUCCGGAAGCUUGACGGUACCUCUAGAGGAAGCCCCGGCUAACUCUGUGCCAGCAGCCGCGGUAAUACAGAGGGGGCGAGCGUUAUUCGGAAUUAUUGGGCGUAAAGGGCGCGUAGGCGGCUGGGCAAGUCCAAGGUGAAAUCCCUCGGCUCAACCGAGGAACUGCCCUUGGAAACUGCCCCGGCUUGAGGCCGGGGGAGGGUAGUGGAAUUCCCAGUGUAGCGGUGAAAUGCGUAGAUACUGGAAGGAACACCGGUGGCGAAGGCGGCUACCUGGACCGGUUCUGACGCUGAGGCGCGAAAGCGUGGGGAGCAAACAGGAUUAGAUAC